AGGAAUGCUGCAUCGUUUAGUCCUCAUUCAUUAGGAUGCUUGAUUGCAUAAGUGAGUUGUCAAAUGGUAUGUGGGAGGCUGUAAUGGCAGCAUGUAGGUUUGUAUGGAAAACAAGUAUGGCACUGUGAAUAUUUUUUUUCUCAUCAUAUAGGUACCUGCACAUAGUGCUUGUGGGGGUUUGUUGAAAACAUUGUCAGCAAAUGAACCAAUUCAUCAAAAGCACAUCCAUCCAGGUAUUUAUCGCCAAGGCUUCUGAGUUCCUGUCACACCUUCCAUUUUAAGAUUUGGGCAACCAGAGACCGUGGCAUCACCAAGUCAGCCUCUACUAGUGAGUUUCAUAUGGAGAUCCAGCUGCAAAUUAAACCUACCCUGCCUUAAUAGAACCUGUGGACAGGGGGAUUGCUGAAAAUACUACAUGCCCUCCCUUGAGCUCAAUACUCCUGGAAUGCAGCCAACUCCACUGGCACAGGUUUUGGGGGCUGAUCCCCCUUCACAAUUCUUCUCUUCGUAUCUAUUAAAGAGGAAGAUGGAGCAGACCUUCAGGUCAGCCAAAGAUACAGAGAUUUUUGGUGAGCUUUCUUCCAACUAUAGAAAAUGAAGAUAGUCAUUUCAGGACAUUACAUUAAGGUAAUAUAUCUGUUAUAAUGGUUCAUGAAUUAUACCAGCAUACCAUUUUUAUCUGUGCCUUGAAAAUU
RNAcentral lists this long non-coding RNA (695 nucleotides) under Chrysemys picta bellii (western painted turtle). Its description in RNAcentral is "lncRNA (ENSCPBG00000025138.1)". The record is from RNAcentral. Lineage: Eukaryota; Metazoa; Chordata; Testudines; Emydidae.